This is an RNA transcript of Betta splendens (Siamese fighting fish), 3775 nucleotides long. It is a transcript of the gene named ras homolog family member T1a, with no coding region annotated. The transcript is spliced from 22 exons. The record is from RefSeq and is a predicted model, not a curated record. NCBI's taxonomy places the organism in Eukaryota, Metazoa, Chordata, Actinopteri, Anabantiformes, Osphronemidae.
GUUCUUAUCACCAGGGGGCGGAAUAGCGCGUUUCAAAAAUCCCGGCUCUUGUCCCGUCGUUGUUGCCGUAGCUACCGGGGAACGGAGGUCGGGCGUGCGCCUGGAACAAAUGCUGCGAAAUGUUCUACAACAGUUUGAUAACUGAAAUUAAUGUGCUUUUACAACGGGGUGGGCUAUAGACAAGUAUUUGAAUUUCAUUAAAAUUGCGUUCAUAAAUCGCAGGUUGUGCGAAAUCUUUUUGAAAAAGGCACAGAACAGCGAAAGCGGUCCGUCCGUUUUGUCCUACAAAGGCGCCGGGAGUUUGACAGCGGCGGGCCUGGCGUCUGCUAAACUGCGGGAGGCAGACGGCAGCCAGAGGACUUCAUGACACAGUAAUCACGCUCCUUUAUAGAGGGAAGCCAGCUCAAAAUGAGGAAAGACGUCAGGAUAUUGCUGGUCGGGGAACCCAAAGUGGGGAAGACAUCACUGAUUAUGUCUCUUGUCAGUGAAGAGUUUCCUGAUGAGGUUCCUCUUCGAGCUGAGGAAAUUACUAUUCCAGCUGAUGUCACCCCAGAGAGGGUUCCCACUCACAUUGUGGACUACUCGGCAGAGCAGUCAGAAGAGCAGCUGUAUCAAGAAAUAUCAAAGGCGAAUGUUAUCUGUAUAGUUUAUUCAGUCAACAACAAGAAGUCCAUUGAAAAGGUGACAAGCCACUGGAUUCCCCUUAUAAACGACAGAACAGACAAGGAUAGCAGGGUACCACUGAUCCUUGUGGGAAACAAGUCUGAUCUGGUAGAACACAGCAGCAUGGAGACCAUUCUGCCUAUCAUGAACCAGUACCAGGAUAUUGAGACUUGUGUAGAGUGCUCUGCCAAAAACCUGAAGAACAUAUCUGAGCUGUUUUACUACGCCCAGAAGGCUGUUCUCCACCCGACGGGACCCCUUUACUGCCCCGAGGAGAAGGAGCUGAAGGCGUCUUGCAUCAAGGCUUUAACAAGAAUCUUUAAAGUGUCGGACCUGGAUAACGACGGCAUCCUUAAUGACAAUGAGCUAAACUUUUUCCAGAGAACGUGUUUUAAUACCCCACUGGCACCUCAGGCUUUAGAGGAUGUCAAGAAUGUUGUGAGGAGGAACAUGAGCGAUGGAGUCAAAGACAACGGGCUCACGCUCAAAGGCUUCCUGUUCCUGCACACCCUCUUCAUACAGCGAGGUCGCCAUGAGACCACGUGGACUGUGCUGAGGAGGUUUGGUUAUGAUGAUGACCUGGAACUGACACAGGAAUAUCUGUUCCCCAUAAUAAAGAUCCCCCCCGACUGCACCACAGAGCUCAACCACAACGCUUACCUCUUCCUUCAGAGUGUUUUUGACAAGCAUGACAAAGACAGAGACUGUGCGCUGUCGCCAGACGAGGUGAAAGACCUGUUCAAAGUGUUUCCGUACAUGCCCUGGGGUCCAGACGUCAACAACACGGUUUGCACCAAUGAUCAGGGUUGGAUCACGUACCAGGGCUACCUCUCCCAGUGGACGUUAACGACGUAUCUAGAUGUGCAGCGAAGCUUGGAGUAUUUAGGUUACCUGGGCUACUCCAUCAUCUAUGAACAGGAGUCUCAGGCAGCUGCCAUCACAGUGACCCGUAAUAAGCGCAUUGACCUGCAGAAGAAGCAGACCCAGCGCAGCGUCUUCCGCUGCAAUGUGUUGGGUGCAAGGGGGAGUGGGAAGAGCGGCUUCCUGCAGGCCUUCCUGGGUAAAAACCUGCAGCGACAAAAGCGAAUCAGAGAAGAUCACAAGUCCUUCUAUGCGAUCAGCACGACCUACGUUUAUGGUCAGGAGAAGUACUUGCUGCUCCAUGAGGUGAUGCCAGACUUCGACUUCCUGUCAGAGGCAGACCUCGCGUGCGACGUGGUCUGUCUGGUGUACGACGUCAACAAUCCACGUUCUUUUGAAUAUUGCGCCAAAGUGUAUAAGCAAUACUUCAUAGACAGCAAGACGCCGUGCGUGGUGAUCGCUGGCAAGUCGGACCUGCACGAAGUACGGCAGCACUACAGCCUCUCGCCGCACGAGUUCUGCCGCAAGCACAAGCUCCACCCGCCCCAGCCUUUCACGUGCAACACCACCGACGCACCCAGCAAAGACCUCUACACUCGACUCACCACGAUGGCCAUGUAUCCCCACGCCCGUCUCCGCUGCAUGUGUACCUGCAACAGGUGUUCGUAUUGCCUGUGUCAGAACCUCCUCAAGUUGGAGCUGCUGCGCAGCAUUAAGGCCCAGCUCCGCAGGGUCGUUUUCAACAGCCCCAGCCAGCGCUCCUGCUCUCUGUACAGCUUGAUACAGCCAAGCGCGACCAAGCUGUACCAGCUAACACACCGCCUGCUAGCCAGGUGUUCGUACACGUGUUGUUGGCUGCCCCUUUUCCUCCUCCUCUUGCAUGUCUUCACCCUCUGUUAACCUCCCGCUGCUCUCCGUUGCAUGGCUCACCAGUGGUAACCGAAGGCGUGUCUCAGUCCUUUUUAAACCUAUUGGCAUCUACUGGCAGCUGCUCAUUUCAGUACAGAUAGCUUGGUGUUGAAUGCGGUAAUAGAAUGGGAGAAAGUUGCCUGUUUGUGGUGUGUGGACUGGGCUUUAGUGUGUGUGUGUGCGCGUUUGUGUGUGUGUGGCUCAGUUUAAUCUAAUCCUGGCCAGUUUAUAUUUCUUGUUCUUGGUCAUACUUGACCUGGACUCAGUGACGGAGCUGUUGUGUUCAGCACUAACCCUUUGUGUUAAGUAGAUGAUGGUUUCCUGUAAUACUAUUAAUAGUGUGGUAUUAAUAGACUAGCUCUGUCAAAGGUGCCACACACCACAUUGAACGGCCAACAUGUUUAGGCUUUGGUUAGAAUUUAACUUUAGAUGUGCUUUUAGCAAAGGCACAGGAGACAGAAAGAUGUGUAAAGUAAAAAAUAUUAGAAGAAGAAGAUAUUAUUAUUUAAUAAUAAUAAUAAUUAAUUAAUAAUUAAUUAAUCAAUAAUAUUAAUUAAUUAAUAUUAAUUAAUUAAUAAUUAUAGUUAAUAAUAAUAAUAAUUAGUAAUAAUUAAUAAUCAGUCUGGCUGCCAUGUGGUGUGUACAGUCUAAUGUUUGUAGGUGUUUGUGGAUUUAUCCAGCUACAGAUGUAAAGUCCUGCCUAAGUUGUUCCUGAAAAGCUUUGGCCUCUUUUUUGUGCAUCAGCAGAUCCGGGUGAACGAACUGGAUGUUGUUUUCCAGCUCCAAGGCUAAAAAAAACUAGAUCUGACACAUAUAGUGGAUUGUUUCAAAGCUAAUUGAUGAUUUAAAAAUGAUCUCAAUUUAGAUUCCCAAAUAUGAUGACGAUGAAGAAUUACUGGAUUGUUAGUUCACAGCAGUGUCACCCAGCUCUGCCUGUUGCGUUGAGGUGUGUGUGUACGUGUGGAAGCCUGCUGGGCUGGGCUGGGUGGAGGCUGUGGGGGGGCGACCUGCUGUCACUGGACUAUUCCACCUGAUGCAGCAGGUGUCGUUGAGUCGCUGACAUGGAGGCUUCCAGCUUCACAGGUCUCCUGAGCCGCUAGUUCCCGCGCAGGCACAUGGCGCAGGCGGACCUGAAGAACUCGACCUUCUGGCUGCGGGCGAGCGUCGGCGCCACCGUGUUCGCCGUGCUGGGCUUCGCCAUGUACAGAGCGCUCCUCAAGCAGCGGUGAUCAGGCGGCUCCCUCCCCUCCUAAAAGACUGACGACCAGUCUCCAAGUCUCAGACCUGAAACAAAUGAGGAAAAUGAUUAGUACAUUUUAUAUGAAUAAAAAAAAGAGAAUAA